GUAUGGUAGAGUAUUUGUGAUACUUCAGGGCAGUCAUGGCCGAAAGCAGCGACGAACAGAGGGAAAAAUCGAGGAUUUCGACGAUGUUGACGUUCUUAAUAUGUCAUUCUGUGAAAUGAAAUAUGUAUGUAUUUUACCUGAUUAAAUAUCAUGUAGAUCAUUGACGCGUUUUAUAAUGCAAUUCAUAACAAGCAGUCGUAACACAAUGAUAUCGAUCUCUAUGAACAGGACACGUUUGAAUAACGCCAUAUGUUGACAAUUAAUAUGUUGUGCUCAUCGUUCGACUGCAGCGAUGUGGAUACUCCCAAUAUAUCGUUUUCUGAAAUGGACUUGGUAUGUAGAUUUUUGUGGUAAUGGAGAUUCUACAUGCAGACAUUGUGUU
Paramuricea clavata is the source of this 382-nucleotide non-coding RNA. Lineage: Eukaryota; Metazoa; Cnidaria; Anthozoa; Malacalcyonacea; Plexauridae. The record is from the annotation of a GenBank genome assembly.